GGAACGCGAAGAACCUUACCAUGUCUUGACAUCCUGCGACGAUGCUGGAAACAGUAUUUUCCUUCGGGACGCAGAGACAGGUGGUGCAUGGUUGUCGUCAGCUCGUGUCGUGAGAUGUUGGGUUAAGUCCCGCAACGAGCGCAACCCUUAUGGUCAGUUACUACGCAAGAGGACUCUGGCCAGACUGCCGUUGACAAAACGGAGGAAGGUGGGGAUGACGUCAAAUAAUCAUGCCCUUUAUGACUUGGGCUACACACGUACUACAAUGGCGUUAGACAAAGAGAAGCAAGACCGCGAGGUGGAGCAAAACUCAGAAACAACGUCCCAGUUCGGACUGCAUGUGCUGCAACUCGCCUGCACGAAGUCGGAAUUGCUAGUAAUCGCAGAUCAGCAUGCUGCGGUGAAUACGUUCCCGGGCCUUGUACACAC
Molecule: ribosomal RNA, 429 nt
Filed under: uncultured bacterium
Lineage: Bacteria
Description: bacterial SSU rRNA
Rfam family: Bacterial small subunit ribosomal RNA
Source: RNAcentral